GUACCCUCAAGCUUUGCUUGGUGUUGGGCGUCUGUCCCGCUUUAUGCGUGGACUCGCCCCAAAGUCAUUGGCAGCGGUCGUGCCAGCUUCUCGCGCAGCACAUUUGCGUUUCUUGAAGUUUGGUGGAUUAGCAUCCAGUAAGCUCUUUUAUG
This 152-nucleotide unclassified non-coding RNA is filed under the name uncultured Massarinaceae. RNAcentral's name for it is "sequence contains ITS2". Lineage: Eukaryota; Fungi; Ascomycota; Dothideomycetes; Pleosporales; Massarinaceae. The record is from RNAcentral.